CGAGAGUGUAAAUUUGGAACGAAUCGAUGUCAACGUUCACAAGAACCAAAGCCGGAACAACAUUAGACUACUCAGUUGCGCCCUAACAGUAUAACUUUGCAAUGAGUACUUUUUCUCAUUUAAUCGAACAAAGAGUAAAACCUAAUUAAAUUGUUCGAUUAAGCCCCGAGAGUGUAAAGUUGGAACGAAUAGAUGUCAACGUUCACACAAACCAAAAUCGGAACAACAUUAGACUACUCACUUACACCCUAACAGUAUAAAUUUGCAACCAGUACUUUUUCUCAUUCUAUCGAACAAAGAGAAAAAGCUAAUUAUAUUGUUCUAUUAUGCCCCGAGAGUGUAAAUUUGGAACGAAUUGAUGUAAAUGUUCACAAGAAUCAAAACCGGAACCACAUUAGACUACUCACUUGCGCCCUAACAGUAUAACAUCGCAACAACUACUUUUUCUCAUUCAAUCGAAAAAAUAGUAAAACCUAAUUAUAUUGUUCUAUUAAGCCCCGAGAGUGUAAAGUUGGAACGAAUCGAUGUCAACGUUCACAAAAACCAAAACCGAAACAACAUUAGACUACUCAGUUGCGCCGAAACAGUAUAACUUUGCAACGAGUACUUUUUCUCAUUCAAUAGAACAAAGAGUAAAACCUAAUUAUAUUUUUCUAUUAAGCUCCGAGAGUAUAAAUUUGGAACGAAUCGAUGUCAACGUUCACAAGAACCAAAACCGGAACAACUUUAGAUUACACUGUUCCGCCCAACCAGUAUAACUUUACAACGAGUACUUUUUUUCAUUCAAUCAAACAAAGUGUAAAACCAAAUUAUAUUGUUCUAUUAUGCCCCGAGAUAGUAAAAUUGGAACGAAUCGAUGUCAACGUUGACAAGAACCAAAAUCGGAACAACAGAAGACUACUUACUUGCGCCCUAACAGUAUAAAUUUGCAACGAGUACUUUUUCUCAUUCUAUCGAACAAAGAGUAAAAGCUUAUUAUAUUGUUCUAUUAUGCCCCGAGAGUGUAAAUUUGGAACGAAUCGAUGUCAAAGUUCACAGGAACCAAAUCCGGAACAACAUUAGACUGCUCACUUGCGCCCUGACAGUAUUAAUUUGCAACGAGUACUUUUCCUCAUUCUAUCGAACAAAGCGUAAAAGCUAAUUAUAUUGCGCCCCGAGAGUGUAAAUUUGGAACGAAUCGAUGUCAACGUUCACAAGAACCAAAACCGGAACAACUUUAGAUUCCUCAGUUGUGCCCUAACAGUAUAACUUUGCAACGAGUACUUUUUCUCAUUUUAUCAAACAGCGAGUAAAAGCUAAUUAUAUUGUUCGAUUAAGCCCCGAGAGUGUAAAUUUGGAACGAAUCGAUGUCAACGUUCACAAGAACCAAAACCGGAACAACAUUAGACUACUCAGUUGCGCCCUAACAGUAUAACUUUGCAAUGAGUACUUUUUCUCAUUUAAUCGAACAAAGAGUAAAACCUAAUUAAAUUGUUUGAUUAAGCCCCGAGAGUGUAAAGUUGGAACGAAUAGAUAUCAACGUUCACACAAACCAAAAUCGGAACAACAUUAGACUACUCACUUACACCCUAACAGUAUAAAUUUGCAACCAGUACUUUUUCUCAUUCUAUCGAACAAAGAGAAAAAGCUAAUUAUAUUGUUCUAUUAUGCCCCGAGAGUGUAAAUUUGGAACGAAUUGAUGUCAACGUUCACAAGAAUCAAAACCGGAACCACAUUAGACUGCUCACUUGCGCCCUAACAGUAUAACUUCGCAACAACUACUUUUUCUCAUUCAAUCGAACAAAUAGUAAAACCUAAUUAUAUUGUUCUAUUAAGCCCCGAGAGUGUAAAUUUGGAACGAAUUGAUGUCAACGUUCCAAAUUUAUUGUUCGAUUAGACACAACUACUCAGUUGCGUCCUAACAGUAUAACUUUGCAACGAGUACUUUUUCUCAUUUAAUCGAAUAAAGAGUAAAAC
This 1956-nucleotide long non-coding RNA is filed under the name Ananas comosus (pineapple). RNAcentral's name for it is "long non-coding RNA (ACOM_LNC003524)". The record is from RNAcentral. Lineage: Eukaryota; Viridiplantae; Streptophyta; Magnoliopsida; Poales; Bromeliaceae.